CCUCGAGAUCGUCGUUCGUUCAUUCUGAACGAACAUGGUAGAAGAAUGCAAGACAAAAUUGAAACCAAAUUGCGAUCACUGCGACAGUCAGGUAAAAGAUGCAUACGACUUGCAAGAUCCUCGGAUCAUACAGAAAUUGUCGGUUUGCUUAAACGGACUAUCUUACCUCUCCGGUGACCUAACCUACUUGGAAAACUUGACGAAACUAGACAUAUCAAAGAAUAAUUUGGAAGAAUUGCCAACGUCCGUAUGCUUGCUCAAGAAACUCGAACACUUGGUGGUGAACGACAACAAAUUGGUAACUCUACCAGACCUAGUAGGAGAAUUGUGUUCGUUGAAAAUUUUAUGCUUAUCCAAGAAUCAAAUUAAAGUCCUGCCGGACUCGCUGGGAAACCUUGAUCUUAGAGAAAUGUACUUGGACGAUAACAAUCUUACGGAUCUACCCCUCUCGUUCGUACAGUUAAAUGAUUUAAAAACACUAGACGUAGCUAAUAAUUGUUUAAAGACUGUGCCAAAGUGCAUCACCAAUGGAAUGAAGAGACUGGAAAAGUUGGACUUGUCUUUUAAUCGGAGCAUUAAUCAUCUACAUCCCAAGCCUGCGAGCAACCGAUUAAGGUGGUUAUACUUCAAAGAAGUCGGACCCUGCCUUUGGUUUCCUUCCUGGCUUUUUACCUCGAUGUAUGUCAACUUUGAAGAAAUCUCUUUCAAUCGCACACAGUUUGAAAGAUACGACAUACCGCAUGGGAAUAUAGAAUUGCGUGUUAAGAGGUUAUCAAUGGAAAAUUGCAACUUAUCGGACAUAGAGCUAGGGAAAGUUCUUUCGCUCGCGACAGGUCUUCAAGAACUAAAUAUUUCAAACACACAGAAAGUUUCUAAAUGUAAUAUGCUUUCCAAUCUACCCUUAACAGCUCUGAAAAAUAAAAAAGAGUUGAGAGAAAUUCACGCCAGAGCAACGGGUCUUCCUACGAUUCAGGCUACCAUAAGCGAGUUUGAAAACCUCACGGUAUUAAACUUAGGUCGCAAUAAUAUCUUUUGGCUUCCUGAUGAAAUUUGCCAGUUAACAAACCUGGAAGUACUGAUAGUCGAAGGUAACAGUUUGAUAACGCUUCCGGACAAUAUUGGAGACAUGGCAGCCCUUGUUAAGUUGCAGGCAGCUUGGAAUUCGUUAUCUAGCCUACCUGACUCGGUGCAAAGGCUGAAGAGCCUUCGUUUUUUAGAUUUAUAUAUGAAUGACUUUAUGGAAGUACCUGAAUCAGCAGAGAAGAUAGAUUGUUUGUUUGGAUUCGACAUCGACGGGAAUUACUUUGAUACCACUGGUCUGUGGAUCGGAAAGGUAUCCUAUGAAGACUUGAAGAAUAAAAUACGCAAGAAUUCCGGCAUUGUUGAUACUCCAAGAUUUUCUGGCCCAAGAAUCGAAGCAACAGAAAACUCGGAGUCAAGUUCCCAACCACCUAGCGCCUCCACAGGAAAUAACUCUCCUGGAGAAAUAUCACCGUAAAACACUCUGAUCAUUCUAUGAAGAUGGAUAAUGAAAAGCAUGAAUUUGAGGAGAACUGGGACGUUUCCGAAGAUUCUACCGACGAAUUCGACCCUAAUAGCCAGAGAGAGCCGAAAUGUCGCAGAAAAUAUAAGACGUUCGACGACGGUUGGAG
Molecule: unclassified non-coding RNA, 1652 nt
Filed under: Orussus abietinus
Lineage: Eukaryota; Metazoa; Arthropoda; Insecta; Hymenoptera; Orussidae
Description: leucine-rich repeat protein soc-2 homolog, transcript variant X1
Source: RNAcentral